Heterocephalus glaber (naked mole-rat) is the source of this 3379-nucleotide long non-coding RNA. RefSeq lists it as uncharacterized. The record is from RefSeq and is a predicted model, not a curated record. Lineage: Eukaryota; Metazoa; Chordata; Mammalia; Rodentia; Bathyergidae.
CUAAAUCCCUGCCCUAGUUUCUUAAUACUAGAGUUGGGCUUGGGGGUAGGUUUAAUGCUAGGUUAGGGUAGGGAUUAGGAUUAAUGUUGAGUUAAGGUUAUGUUUAGAGUUAGACCAGAUUAAGGUGAGAUACAAGGUUAGGGUUAGUGUUAGGGUUAGGAAUUAGAGUUAGGGUUAGGGUUAGGGUUUAGGGCUAAAGUUAGAAAUUAGUGUUAAGCUCAGGUUUAGGGUGAGGGUUACAGGGUUACAGUGUAAGAAUUGGGGUGAGGUGCAUGUUCAGGUUAGGGUUUAGUGAUAGUUUUCUAGUUCAGAUUGGGGUUCAGUAGGUAGGUUAGGAUUGUGGUUAAGGUUGAUAAAUGGAACAAUUCCCCUCAAAAUUUUUUACAUUUUAUUUAUCAGUUAAAUAUUAUUCCAAUAUAUUUUAGUAAAUUAAAUAUUUAUUGUGACAUGCCUUUUAUUCUCAUAAGGACUCUGGAUGGAAGGUAGUAAGUAAAAAUGAAUGCCUUAUGGCUUGUAUUUAGACCCUCCUUCCAAGCCUUAUAUGCUUAUAGGUGGGGCUUUUUUUAGAUGGCUGGAUUUACAGUGUGUGAGUAUGGAUUCAGGGUGCAUGAUAAAUAAAUUAGUCCACUGAUUGGUUUGGUGUAGUUCUGGGUGUGGAUAAUGGCAAGGCCCACCCUAGGUGUAGCAUGAUCCAAUAGGCUUGUAGCCUGAGUGGAAUAAAAGGAAAAGGGAGGUUCAAUGUUGCUGCUUUGCUGCCUUCUGCCUGGCAUACCAUGGACUAUUUCUCCUCCAUGCCAUCCUGCUCUGGAGCCAGCUGACUGUAGACUGAAACUUCUACAAACUGUGACCUAAAAUAAACCUUUCCUCCUGUAACUUGUGGGUGUUGGGUAUUGUGUCUCAACAAUGAGAAAGUAAGUAAGACAACAUGCUUGGCACUUUCAACCCUCACCCCAUCAGCUAGAGAUGGAUUAAACAGUUGGUGAUGCUUAUAUGAUUAAAUCUUCAGAAAAACCCCUGGAAUGUAUAGUUUUGGGAAUCAAUGAGGAAAUCCUUGUGGAGGUCAUACACCCUGAUUGCAUGGGGCCAAAGGCUGCUGCCCUGGGAAACCUCCUGGACCUCUCUCUGUGCCUCUUUAAAUUUUAUGUUCAUGGCUGUCCUUUAUUGCACCCUGUGUCAUUUCCCCCAUCCUCUCAGAGUGCCUUAAAAAAUGCCUUAGAAAUUUAUGGUCUAUAGUUCUGGAGCCUGGAAACUUCCAGAUCAAGGCAAUGGCAGAUAUCCAUGUCUGCUGAGUCUCUACUCUUCAUAGAUAGUGACUUUGAGUUGUGUCCUCACAUGUCACAAUAUGGAAGAGGCUCCCAAAGACUCCUUUAUAAAAGUUCUUGGAGGGAAAAUAACAGAGACUAGUGAGUGCCAGCAACUCAGCUUCUCCAGGACAAAGUGUCUAGAGCAGCAGUGGUAAGCCUAUGGCACAUGUGCCACAGCUGCAGUCUCUAAAAGGUUUGUGUGGUGGAUUGACUAGUGGUUAACUUGAAACAUCCAACUGAACUGAAUUAGUGUGGUCUGGGCAUGAAAGAUCCACCUUCAGAUUGUUACCAAUCACCAUAAAAAGAGAACUGGAGGAGUAGAUCUUGGCCUGUUGAUUUGCUAGGAGAAGCUUGUUGCAGAUAGUUUUCCUGAUGCAAACUAGGCUGUUCUCGGAGGAGGAGCUCGGGACCUCCCUGUCACUGGUAAUGGCUGCUGUUUUCUUCAGGGGAGCUCUGACCUUUACUGUGAGCAUCACGUCCUGACUCCAAUAUGGAUCCCUCAGCUUGGUGGCAGAAAUCCUUCAUCUCACCAGCACGGAUUUUCUGGCUUCCACCAUUGGCCUUUGAGCCCUCCAGAACUUCUCUGGGGCUGGGAGAAUCAAUGGCAGUUGGAACCAGCAAGAAAAUCAAGGGAUACUGCUUCCAGAGUGACCUUCCACAGUCAACAGUUGUGGGCAGAAAAUGGAGCAGCCUUGUAUCAGUGAAGAAGAGUUUCUGUUUUAUGAACUAUCCAGUCAGCCACACUGGCCAGAGAAUAGAAUCCUCUGUCAGGCACUCAAGUCAGAAGCUCCCAGUGUGCUGCCGAGACUCCCAACCUGGCUUGGCCUCACUUGCUCUAUGACUGCUACUGAGUGUGGCUGGAUGGGAAGGUCCUGGGAGACUCUCAAUCCUCAAAAUGGUGAUUAUUCAAGGUCAAAUGGCCCACACUAGGAGCAAGUCUUGUGGUGGACGUGUAACUUCUGGUUAGAAGUGGACAGAACUAGCUUUGGCAGGAUCUGGGCCUCCCUGGAUCAGUUGGGGAAUCUUUGUUCCUGUAUGUGAACUCUCACUGGUACACAUUUGGUCCUUGGUAACCCUCUGGGCAGGGCUGAGACAUCUGCCAGGACUUAAGGAUCCUGUCUUGUCCCAGUGAAUUGACUUUACCAUGGCCAGCACUCUGGCUUUGCCAGCUCAGUCACCAUGCUUUUCAGGGAGCAGGAGAGUUGACGGGAGACUCAUGACACGUAUGUGAGGUUUCUGUGUGGGUAAAACUGAUAUGUUGGCUUCCCUGUUUUUUCUUUCAGCAGCAGACCAGGUAUUAUGAUUUAUAUCCUCAGUGUCUCCUAAAUGUCCCAUGAAUCUGAAAGUUGAUUGGUUUAUUAAUUCAUUGGUGAGUUCAGUGUCUGAAUGUGCUCUUAGGUGGUGGAAAUUUAUUGGAGAUGGGUAAGUUUUGCAGUUAAAAAUGGAAUGGAGGGCCGGGGAUUUAGCUCAGUGGUUCCACCACCUGCCUCACAGGCACAAGGUCCUGAGUUCAAUCCCCGGUACCAAAAAAAAAAAAAAAAAGGAAUAGAGAAUUGAUUUACCUCUGAAGAAGCAAAAAAGUUUAUAAGUAAAUGACUAGUUUUGCAUUUCUCAUAAAUAUGCCUAAAGAUCCAUAGAAUUAUGAUGCAGGUCAGCAAACCACCUAUGGUUUCUUCCAGUGCAUCUCUCUGAUUUCAUCUAGUUUCCCCCAAGGUGGCCACAGGAUGGAUUUUCUGGAAGCUCUUUGGACCUUAACAAUUUCUUCAAGCAAAAAUGUUAAUUUGGUUUCAAUUCUUUGGAAUUUUGAGUAAAUUAAUAAUUGAGGGAUCAAACUCAGGACCUUGUGCUUGUGAGGCAGGUGGCAGAACCACUGAGCUAAAUCCCUGGCCCCUCCACUUAUUUCUUUUUAGUCUUCUGCUUUGUCUGUAUCCACUGACAAGAUCUUACAAUUUUUGUUCUCUAGAUUUUAUUUAAUGGAUUACAUUAAUUAUUGAAUAAUGCCUUUGAUACUUUAAUAACUUAUUGUCUAUAAUUAUACAAAUAAUGAGCAAUAAAAUUUCCUAUUUGUUGAGUGA